AAAAACAUAGCCUUUAGCCAAAUAAGUAUUAAAGGUCCUGCCUGCCCAGUGAACUUAACGGCCGCGGUAUCCUAACCGUGCAAAGGUAGCGUAAUCACUUGUCUUUUAAAUAAAGACUUGUAUGAACGGCUAAAUGAGGAUAAAACUGUCUCUUUUAACUAAUCAGUGAAACUGAUCUUCAAGUACAAAAGCUUGAAUAAACCCACAAGACGAGAAGACCCUGUGGAGCUUAAAAUUAAACUAUUAAAACAAUAGCAACCUUUUAAGUUGGGGCGACUUCGGAUAAAAACACAACAUCCGAGCAUAGGGCCAAACCCCAGCCAAGACCUACAAGUCUAACUGACCCAGUCUAACUGAUAAACGAACCAAGUUACCCCAGGGAUAACAGCGCCAUCUUCUUCAAGAGUUCCUAUCGACAAGAAGGUUUACGACCUCGAUGUUGGAUCAGGACACCCAAAUGGUGUAGCAGCUAUUAAAGGUUCGUUUGUUCAACGAUUAACAGUCCUACGUGAUCUG
This 516-nucleotide ribosomal RNA is filed under the name Panaspis togoensis. RNAcentral's name for it is "partial 16S ribosomal RNA". It matches the Rfam family "Bacterial large subunit ribosomal RNA", at positions 1809 to 2607 of the family's 2925-position model. Lineage: Eukaryota; Metazoa; Chordata; Lepidosauria; Squamata; Scincidae. The record is from RNAcentral.